UACGUAGGGAGCAAGCGUUGUCCGGAUUCAUUGGGCGUAAAGAGCUCGUAGGCGGCUUGUUGCGUCUGCUGUGAAAUCCCGGGGCUUAACCCCGGGCGUGCAGUGGAUACGGGCAGGCUAGAGGCAGGCAGGGGAGAACGGAAUUCCUGGUGUAGCGGUGAAAUGCGCAGAUAUCGGGAGGAACACCGGUGGCGAAGGCGGUUCUCUGGGCCUGAUCUGACGCUGAGGAGCGAAAGCGUGGGGAGCGAACAGG
Molecule: ribosomal RNA, 253 nt
Filed under: uncultured bacterium
Lineage: Bacteria
Description: partial 16S ribosomal RNA
Rfam family: Bacterial small subunit ribosomal RNA
Source: RNAcentral